UACGUAGGCAGCGAGCGUUGUUCGGAAUUACUGGGCGUAAAGAGUGUGUAGGCGGUGCUCUAAGUUCGGUGUGAAAUCUCCUGGCUUAACUGGGAGGGUGCGCCGGAAACUGGAGUGCUCGAGCGUGGGAGAGGAAAGCGGAAUUCCUGGUGUAGCGGUGAAAUGCGUAGAUAUCAGGAGGAACACCGGUGGCGAAGGCGGGUCUCUGGGCCGAUACUGACGCUGAGGAGCGAAAGCGUGGGGAGCGAACAGG
Molecule: ribosomal RNA, 253 nt
Filed under: uncultured bacterium
Lineage: Bacteria
Description: partial 16S ribosomal RNA
Rfam family: Bacterial small subunit ribosomal RNA
Source: RNAcentral